UUAAUAAUCAAAUUCAUCAAUCAAUUAAAUUAUUUGCGACUACAUAAAUGACAAAAUUGAUUAAUUUUGAUCACUGAUUUGCCGAUUAUUUUAGUCGAAAUAAAUUUUAAUUGAUUUAAUUGAAUUUUAAUCGACUGGUUCCAACGGACGCGUGUGCUGUACCGGAGGAUCCGGUUCAGGCAAGGCAGACUCGGUUUGAAGAUGUGGAGAGAAACGUGACCGGCCUUGACUGCGAGUCGUUUCGUUAUACACGAAGACGAAUUUCGUACGACUUUCAAAACAAAAACAUACGUAUAAAUAGAUUCCGUAUUCGAGAUCAUAACAGUCUUCGACGUGCCGGCGAACACAUCGGACGUGACGUCGCAUUGUAUUCCGCGUUUAUCGGCGCGCGUGUCGGACGAAUUACGAUACUUGACGCAAGCGCGAUCGUAGUGCUGAGAUCAUCGUGAGCUGUGGGAACGUCUUUAUAUUUAAAAGUUCUGAGACAAAUCUUGCGGCAGUAUAUCGUGGAGGCAGCUGUAAUCUCGACGGACGCGAAUGCCGUACCGGAGGACCCGGUUCGGGCCGAGCAGGGUCGGCUUGAAGAUUCGGAGCGAAACGUGGCCGACCCUGACUGCAAGUCGUUUUGAUAUGUAAUCUCUGAAGUCGUCGUCCGAGCAUGCGAAGGGUUGCGUUCUUACAACGAGAACGGAAGAAUUAUACUACAUUCAACCUAUCUUCGAUCGCUGGCUCGUGCUCUUUCAUCGCUGCUCUUUCUUGGUCAAAGCUCGAGUCGAGGGAAUUAAGCCAUGCGUACGGCGUACACUGAGAAAAAAAUAUUUGGUAUUUGUAGCUAUAACCACAUAGAAAAACAAUUAUUACAACUCUUAUACUCAAGAAAACUAAUUGUUUAUUAAAUUCUAGUAUAAUGUUAGUGAUGAUAACUUUGCAUAUUAUUAUUAUUGCAUGUUACUACUACUUUACUACAAAAAAUGGUUGCGCUCCCAAUAAAAACUAUAGUUUUGGUUAGAUCAAUCAUUUUUUUCUUAGUAUAAGUAAGUAGGUAUCAAAAGUUUAUUCCCUAAACCCGGUUACAUAUAAAAACGCAUGAUCUGUACUAUGCAUAAGUUAAUUAUAUUUUGCAUUAAUGAAGUCAAUGAUCGUCGUUUCAUAUAAAAUAACAGAAGAAAUAGAAAUAUAAAAUAUUUCGCCUGAGAUAUGUUAUUUUUAUUUAAGUAGAUUAUAUAUGAAAAGUAAAACUGGUGUUUACAUCCGCUAAAUAAAAAUUUGUAGAACAUGUGAAUUCUCAUGACACAAUAAAGUGGCCUUUGAACUCUUUUACUUAUA
Molecule: RNA transcript, 1326 nt
Organism: Odontomachus brunneus
Lineage: Eukaryota; Metazoa; Arthropoda; Insecta; Hymenoptera; Formicidae
Exons: 6
Source: RefSeq, a predicted model, not a curated record